CUGAACCUUAAACACCACCAUCUCUUUCCAACACAACCUCCUUCAAGAGCCUCAACGAAUGGAAGGAACCUCUCAGUCACCAAAUUUUCAACCUCUUUGAUGAAGCGAAGUCGGAGACCAAGUGAUAACGGUCACCGGAAUCGCUGACUCAGUCGAGGAUGCUCUGUUAACUCGCUUAGGACUGAAUUCAUCUCUAGGCUCCCCGACAAGGUCCAUUCUGGUCUUGAUGUUGAGUCCAGUCCCUACGAUAUUGACCUUGCCCGGACUAGUGGCUUGAGUGGAGUUUUGUUUCAACUUCAAUUAAAGAAAACCCUGUUUGGUUACUGAGAAAAUGCGCUCAAGAUUUUUAUGUUCUUUUUCUUGUUGUUUUGGGUUAUAUAUGUAAUGAGUAAUCAGAAAAUGAGAAAACGUCAUUUUACCUGGAUUGAUUGGUUUCUUGGAACCACAAAAUGAGUGAUUAUUGUUUUGGUUUUUUUUAUUAAUUUUCUUAGGAAACAAACAGAGGUAUUGCAUUGUUUGUCUGUUGAGAAACUGGGGGAGAAUUCUUCACUUGUGUCAAAGAUUCUGCAACCAAAGCAAUCCAAUGAUGCAUUUUUUUUAUUCUUGCUAUUCUUAUGUUGUUAUAUAUGCAUGUUCUUACAAAUAAUUUUUUUUGUUUCUUCUUUAAAUUAUAGGAGAAAAGGACUACUAUGAAAGACAGCUUUUAACUCUGAAAUCUAUUGAGGAAGUUGACUCUAUAGUGCAAUCAGAAGGCAUUGAUGAAGAUGAUCUUGAUGAACAAGCUCAACAUGAAAGAGCCGUGAAGAUCUCUAAUUAUUCAAACAUAAUUCUCUUGGGACUUAAGGUGGUGAUGGCUUUCGUUGGAGAAACUAUAGGCAUUCAAAAGUGAUAGAGUUGGAGGGUGACAAGGGUUAUGGUAAGAUAUAUUAUACAGUACUACGUUUGGAUGAAAAACUCAUACAAGGUAUGAUGUUUUCCAGUUAUCACUCUUUGCAAUUUGAAUAUGCCAUGUACUUAUCCUAUUCCUAUGUUUCUUUUAUUAAUUUGAUAAAGAAGAAAGAACAAUCACCUUGUCAUCUAUAUCUUCAAUUAACACUAAAGAAAUUAAGAUGUAUUUUCAUGUUUUAAAAAGUUUUCCUUGUGUAUUUUUAAGACUACAAGUAAAACUUUAGUUGGUGUUAACUGUUACUUUAACUGUGAACUUGUGGCUCUUGAAUGGCAGAGAAUCUUAUGACUACUUCUGCCACCCAAUUUGCACUAUCACUUAAGUUAUCUCCUUGUUUUUCUUUGACUUCGAGAAUAUUCACUCUACUUGCUUGGACAUAGAUUAUAUGUGGGACGUGGGAUGCAAGAAAGCCAUGUCUUUGUGCUGAAGUACACAUUGUUCUGGAUACUAGUACCAUUGAGCAUAUUUUCUUUCAACUACUGGUUUGAGGUAAGCUGUCAUGUGCAACUACAUAAUAACUCCAUAAUACAUGACUAUUUAUUAGAUAAUUUACUAAUAAAUCUUUCAUUUUAGAUUGCCAUAAAUAUCUUUAUUUAGUGGAAAUUGUACUAUCUAAUUCUCAACUUUCGACAUGAAAUCAGAGCUAAUUAAUUCUUAGCAUUUCUGUUCAUUGUAAUCUUUCUGAUUCUUAUGCUAGUUAAAUAUAAACAUGAAAGCAUACUUACUGUUAACUGCGGCCAGUGGAAUAAUGCAGAUAAAGCCUCUCAUAGGACCAAUAAAGCAGAUCAUGAAAAUUGGUGUGAAAAGUUAUGACUGGCAUGAGCUUUUCCCAAAAGGUUUUCUCUGUUCCUUUGUAUAUAGUUUGUCCAAAAAAAUUAAUCAGAAACCUGGUAUAGCUACUAAAUCUAACCCCCAAAAAAAUUGCUUCUCUUGCAGUACAGAAUAAUGCUGGUGCAAUAAUUGCAGUAUGGGC
Molecule: long non-coding RNA, 1919 nt
Organism: Humulus lupulus (European hop)
Lineage: Eukaryota; Viridiplantae; Streptophyta; Magnoliopsida; Rosales; Cannabaceae
Exons: 4
Source: RefSeq, a predicted model, not a curated record